GUCUACGUAGCUCAGCUGGAUAGAGCACACGCCUUCUAAGUGUGCGGUCAGGGGUUCGAAUCCCUUCGUGGACGCCA
This 77-nucleotide transfer RNA is filed under the name Coprobacillus sp. AM32-11LB. Its description in RNAcentral is "tRNA-Arg". It matches the Rfam family "tRNA". From Rfam's summary of the family: Transfer RNA (tRNA) molecules are approximately 80 nucleotides in length. Their secondary structure includes four short double-helical elements and three loops (D, anti-codon, and T loops). The record is from RNAcentral. Lineage: Bacteria; Bacillati; Bacillota; Erysipelotrichia; Erysipelotrichales; Coprobacillaceae.